This 871-nucleotide long non-coding RNA is filed under the name Gallus gallus (chicken). RNAcentral's name for it is "lncRNA (ENSGALG00010004657.1)". Lineage: Eukaryota; Metazoa; Chordata; Aves; Galliformes; Phasianidae. The record is from RNAcentral.
GUUCAAGACUUGUUCUAAGGACAUAAUCAUUAAUUUUCUCAUGCGACUUAAUCUCUUCAUUUGAAUGCUUCAGCUGUAUUAAUGACUUUUUCUCUCAUUUUUCACACGCCUUCUAUCCUGUAUCGCCCAUCUGAGAGACAUUCCUCUGAUCACAGAGCUGCUACCCAUACAGUACCAGGCAUAAGAAGUAGAGCAGCCAGCUACUUUAGAGAGAGAGACUCUUCAUAUGGCCCUGUAACACAUGUGGUCCUUGUUCAUGAGAACUUGUUAUGACUUUAUCUGCUAAGUUAAUUACCCAGCAUUGGCUCACUAGUCAGGUUACCUCUUCAGCCUUCUCCCUGGUUAAGUACUGAUUUCAAAUGCAAGGUUUGUUUUUCAGUGCUGGGUCAUUUCAGUGGCCCUUCUGUCCAGUAUCUUCAAAUCCUUCUCACUGGUGUUCUUACUGUGCUGUAUGCAGAGGCAGUCUCAGCUUUUCAUUUCUGCUUGUCUUCCCCAGAGCCUGACCUCAUCUUGAUUCAAAGAGACCCUGCACCUCCCCAGAUAUCAGGCAAACAACAGGAGAUGGGAUCUGAGAAAAGGAAAUAUUAGGAUUCCAGAUGACAGUUAAGCUGUGAUGGACAUCCGCUUCCUGGGGCAGAGCUGCUGUCAUCCAGAAAUGAAGCAGUCACACCUGAAAGAGGAGAUCAUUUAGAAAAAAAGGUUUUAAUGAGAUUUUAUUCUCCUACUCCAUAUAGAGUCAUCCCAUUUUAUUGGUACGUACCUCCUGUUUGCUUGUUUCCAGAUGUACAGAGCUACAGUAAAAGUAUAUUGAACUCUGUAUGUGCAAUCCAGACUGCUUUACCAAAGUGACUUGCAAUUGCUUCCAAUUAAC